GUACACUCCUACGGGAGGCAGCAGUGGGGAAUUUUGGACAAUGGGCGAAAGCCUGAUCCAGCAAUGCCGCGUGAGUGAAGAAGGCCUUCGGGUUGUAAAGCUCUUUUGUCAGGGAAGAAACGGUGAGAGCUAAUAUCUCUUGCUAAUGACGGUACCUGAAGAAUAAGCACCGGCUAACUACGUGCCAGCAGCCGCGGUAAUACGUAGGGUGCAAGCGUUAAUCGGAAUUACUGGGCGUAAAGCGUGCGCAGGCGGUUUUGUAAGUCUGAUGUGAAAUCCCCGGGCUCAACCUGGGAAUUGCAUUGGGGACUGCAAGGCUAGAAUCUGGCAGAGGGGGGUAGAAUUCCACGUGUAGCAGUGAAAUGCGUAGAUAUGUGGAGGAACACCGAUGGCGAAGGCAGCCCCCUGGGUCAAGAUUGACGCUCAUGCACGAAAGCGUGGGGAGCAAACAGGAUUAGAUACCCGAGUAGUCCCA
Molecule: ribosomal RNA, 475 nt
Filed under: uncultured organism
Description: partial 16S ribosomal RNA
Rfam family: Bacterial small subunit ribosomal RNA
Source: RNAcentral